UCUCCGUAGGUGAACCUGCGGAGGGAUCAUUACAGAGUUCUCGCCCUCGCGGGUAGAUCUCCCACCCACUGUUAUCGUUACUGUGUUGCUUUGGCGGGCCGCCGGGCCCCGCUCGGCCGCCGGCUCCGGCUGGCGCGCGCCCGCCAGAGGCCCAGCAAACUCUGAAUGUUAGUGUCGUCUGAGUACUAUAUAAUUGUUAAAACUUUCAACAACGGAUCUCUUGGUUCUG
This 229-nucleotide unclassified non-coding RNA is filed under the name plant metagenome. RNAcentral's name for it is "partial contains small subunit ribosomal RNA, internal transcribed spacer 1, and 5.8S ribosomal RNA". The record is from RNAcentral.